RNAcentral lists this ribosomal RNA (409 nucleotides) under Bacillus subtilis. Its description in RNAcentral is "bacterial SSU rRNA". It matches the Rfam family "Bacterial small subunit ribosomal RNA", at positions 382 to 783 of the family's 1533-position model. The record is from RNAcentral. Lineage: Bacteria; Bacillati; Bacillota; Bacilli; Caryophanales; Bacillaceae.
UUUGACGGAGCAACCCCGCGUGAUUGAUGAAGGUUUUCGGAUCGUAAAGNUCUGUUUUAGGNAAGAACAAGUACCGUUCGAAUAGGGCGGUACCUUGACGGUACCUAACCAGAAAGCCACGGCUAACUACGUGCCAGCAGCCGCGGUAAUACGUAGGUGGCAAGCGUUGUCCGGAAUUAUUGGGCGUAAAGGGCUCGCAGGCGGUUUCUUAAGUCUGAUGUGAAAGCCCCCGGCUCAACCGGGGAGGGUCAUUGGAAACUGGGGAACUUGAGUGCAGAAGAGGAGAGUGGAAUUCCACGUGUAGCGGUGAAAUGCGUAGAGAUGUGGAGGAACACCAGUGGCGAAGGCGACUCUCUGGUCUGUAACUGACGCUGAGGAGCGAAAGCGUGGGGAGCGAACAGGAUUAGAU